UUGAAUGUGGUGUCCUGCAUCCUCACAUGGACAUACCAAUUCUGGAAGCUAUUUUCUCAGCCAGAAACUAGGAUUUGCUGAAGUUAAAAAUGCCAAAGGCUAAACAGGUGAUCAUUGCUUCUAUUCACAUGGUCUUCCUCUAUGGUAUUCAAAUGUCUGCUGCCUCAGAAUAUUUUCAAACGAGUAGUAAUGGCCCCCUUUAAUGUUUUCCUAUGGUGUUGCGGGUUUAUUAGCCCUGCGUUCAGGCUGGUCUUUGAUAGCCGAGUGGUGCCAAACUGGUAAAGGGAUUAUGGACAAAGAAAAACACCAUAGAAGCAAACAUUUACAUCCUUAUCAAUCAGCUGCAGUAAACUGAACCCCACUUUUUCAGGUACUUUCGGUGAUAUUUGGUCAAGUAACAAUGAAUUCUAAAUGUUUAUAGACUUAUUGUAUGAACAAGUUUUGCUUUCUUCCAUUCAAAGAAACCUCAAGUUUACUCAUUGGCAUCAUUUUCCGUCUUCACAAACCC
This 508-nucleotide long non-coding RNA is filed under the name Gossypium barbadense (sea-island cotton). RNAcentral describes it as "long non-coding RNA (GBAR_LNC005063)". Lineage: Eukaryota; Viridiplantae; Streptophyta; Magnoliopsida; Malvales; Malvaceae. The record is from RNAcentral.